Molecule: ribosomal RNA, 241 nt
Filed under: uncultured bacterium
Lineage: Bacteria
Description: partial 16S ribosomal RNA
Rfam family: Bacterial small subunit ribosomal RNA
Source: RNAcentral
UACGUAGGGUGCGAGCGUUAAUCGGAAUUACUGGGCGUAAAGCGUGCGCAGGCGGUUUGUAAGCCAGAUGUGAAAUCCCCGGGCUUAACCUGGGAAUGGCAUUUGGGACUGCAAGGCUUGAGUGCGGCAGAGGAGACUGGAAUUCCUGGUGUAGCAGUGAAAUGCGUAGAUAUCAGGAGGAACACCGAUGGCGAAGGCAGGUCUCUGGGCUGACACUGACGCUCAUGCACGAAAGCGUGGG